CAAUAGCGUAUAUUAAAGUUGUUGCAGUUAAAAAGCUCGUAGUUGGAUUUCUGGUAGGAGCGACCGUGCCGAACUUGAUUGUUCGAGUAUUGUGUUGUCUUCAGCCAUCCUCGUGGAGAACUUUUCUAACAUUAACUUGUUGGGAUUGGGACCCGCGUCGUUUACUGUGAAAAAAUUAGAGUGUUUAAAGCAGGCAUUGGCUUGAAUACAUUAGCAUGGAAUAAUAAGAUAGGACUUUGGUACUAUUUUGUUGGUUUGCAUACCAAAUUAAUGAUCAACAGGAACAGUUUGAGGAUAUUCGUAUGAACAUGUCAGAGGUGAAAUUCUUGGAUUUUGAUCAGACGAACUACUGCGAAAGCAUUUAUCAAGGAUGUUUUCAUUAA
RNAcentral lists this ribosomal RNA (383 nucleotides) under uncultured eukaryote. RNAcentral's name for it is "partial 18S ribosomal RNA". It matches the Rfam family "Eukaryotic small subunit ribosomal RNA", at positions 592 to 976 of the family's 1831-position model. The record is from RNAcentral.